Molecule: long non-coding RNA, 1054 nt
Organism: Salmo salar (Atlantic salmon)
Lineage: Eukaryota; Metazoa; Chordata; Actinopteri; Salmoniformes; Salmonidae
Source: RefSeq, a predicted model, not a curated record
GUGAACCCCAGUUGCUGCUUGCAACUAUGUUAUUUAUUUCUUGUUCUUACACUGAGUUCAGAGAGAACAUCAGAAGAGACCAGAGUCUGAUAUUCCCGGUGUUCAGUCUGCUCAGAAUUGUCCAGUGGACCUGUCCUCAAUAUUCAGGUCACGUGAGGAUGAUGUAACUUUUGUGAGGGAUGAGCUGAAAAAAAACUGCAUUGUUGGUUAAGGGUUAGAGUGAAAGUGGAGAGGUCAACAUCAAGUGAGACAGCAUCAAAGAAACCAGCGACACAGAUGCCUGCAGACUCAGAUUGGACCCAGUGACAGCGUGCACACUCCUCUUUCUGUAUGAGAACAGAAUAUUUACAUUGUUGGGAGAGGAGCAGCCAUAUCCUGACCAUCCAGAAAUGUUUGAGCACUCACAAUAUGCUGUGUAGAGAGUCUGACUGGAUGCUGCUCCUGGGUGACAGAGUGAAGAGGAUGGGCUCAUGUAGGAGUGACAUAUGAAAGAAUCAGAAGGAAAGGAGAGCAUGAUGACCAUCUCCACUAUGACGCAUCCUGGAUUCUUAAGUGCCCUGGUGGCAAUUAUACUGCCUGUCAUAAUAGGAAGAAUUCUGACAUGCAUGUCUUCUACUCUCGCUCCGACACAGUAGGAGUGUAUCUGGACAGAGUCUAUUGUAACACAUUGAUCCACCUGCACACAUAAUACCCGACAGUCACUGAGCCUCUCUACCCAGGGGUUUGGUUUGGCGUUCACUCCUCAGUGUCCCUGUGCCAAGUAGAACUCUGCGUCCUGUGUCCAGAAGGAACACCUUCAGGAAAGUUACACUCCUGUUCAAACACAACUGUGGGACAUGAUGGGGCACUUUUGGCUUUCAUCAUGGCAGACAGCGGAGCGUUGUACUUGUCUAGUCCAUUCAGUGCAGAUUUGAAUAACCCCUACAUUUUUCUAGAGACAUGGGUUGGACACGUAGCCUCGGGAAGUACGGGUGCUGAAGGUGCUGCAGCACCCCCUGGUAGUGAGAUUGUAAAACUGUAAGAAUUUGUGUCGCAAUAAAAAACGAUUAAACCA